GGAUUAUCCACAAAAACGAAAUUGUGGAUUAUACCGAACUCGGCAUUAUUGUAUUAUUGUUUGCCUUACUGAGUUGGCAUAUUCUAUUCAAAUCUUGCUGUGGAAUCAGCGCACUUUUUAUUACAUCUGUUAUUGCAAAUCCUGAUUUACUGAUGUGGGACUAAUACGAUCACUAAUUGGUCAUCUAUUCUUUUAUGUUCUUCCGACU
Molecule: long non-coding RNA, 208 nt
Organism: Pseudophryne corroboree (corroboree frog)
Lineage: Eukaryota; Metazoa; Chordata; Amphibia; Anura; Myobatrachidae
Exons: 3
Source: RefSeq, a predicted model, not a curated record